Molecule: ribosomal RNA, 253 nt
Filed under: uncultured bacterium
Lineage: Bacteria
Description: partial 16S ribosomal RNA
Rfam family: Bacterial small subunit ribosomal RNA
Source: RNAcentral
GACGUAGGAGGCGAGCGUUGUCCGGAUUCAUUGGGCGUAAAGAGCGCGCAGGCGGCUUGGUAAGUCGGAUGUGAAAACCCGAGGCUCAACCUUGGGCGUGCAUCCGAUACUGCUCGGCUAGAGGUAGGUAGGGGAGAUCGGAAUUCCUGGUGUAGCGGUGAAAUGCGCAGAUAUCAGGAGGAACACCGGUGGCGAAGGCGGAUCUCUGGGCCUUACCUGACGCUCAGGCGCGAAAGCUAGGGGAGCGAACUGG